UGUCGUCAGCUCGUGUUGUGAAAUGUUGGGUUAAGUCCCGCAACGAGCGCAACCCUUAUCCUUUGUUGCCAGCGGUCCGGCCGGGAACUCAAAGGAGACUGCCAGUGAUAAACUGGAGGAAGGUGGGGAUGACGUCAAGUCAUCAUGGCCCUUACGACCAGGGCUACACACGUGCUACAAUGGCGCAUACAAAGAGAAGCGACCUCGCGAGAGCAAGCGGACCUCAUAAAGUGCGUCGUAGUCCGGAUUGGAGUCUGCAACUCGACUCCAUGAAGUCGGAAUCGCUAGUAAUCGUGGAUCAGAAUGCCACGGUGAAUACGUUCCCGGGCCUUGUACACACCGCCCGUCACACCAUGGGAGUGGGUUGCAAAA
Molecule: ribosomal RNA, 372 nt
Filed under: Escherichia coli
Lineage: Bacteria; Pseudomonadati; Pseudomonadota; Gammaproteobacteria; Enterobacterales; Enterobacteriaceae
Also listed under: 5 other names
Description: bacterial SSU rRNA
Rfam family: Bacterial small subunit ribosomal RNA
Source: RNAcentral